Molecule: small RNA, 112 nt
Filed under: Martinezella leucaenae
Lineage: Bacteria; Pseudomonadati; Pseudomonadota; Alphaproteobacteria; Hyphomicrobiales; Rhizobiaceae
Description: Rhizobium leucaenae ar15
Rfam family: Alphaproteobacterial ar15
Source: RNAcentral
AGCUGAUGCACAUGGCGGUUUUCCUCCCAGUGCCGCCGCAGCAGCUGUUCCCCUCUGGAGGUACAAAUUACCUUCACACUUCAUGGGCCGCGAUUUUCGCAGGCCCAUUUUU